UACGUAGGGUGCAAGCGUUAAUCGGAAUUACUGGGCGUAAAGCGUGCGCAGGCGGUUAUGUAAGGCAGAUGUGAAAUCCCCGGGCUCAACCUGGGAACUGCAUUUGUGACUGCAUAGCUAGAGUACGGUAGAGGGGGAUGGAAUUCCGCGUGUAGCAGUGAAAUGCGUAGAUAUGCGGAGGAACACCGAUGGCGAAGGCAAUCCCCUGGACCUGUACUGACGCUCAUGCACGAAAGCGUGGGGAGCAAACAGG
RNAcentral lists this ribosomal RNA (253 nucleotides) under uncultured bacterium. RNAcentral's name for it is "partial 16S ribosomal RNA". It matches the Rfam family "Bacterial small subunit ribosomal RNA", at positions 524 to 776 of the family's 1533-position model. The record is from RNAcentral.